ACAGGGGAAUGCUUAGUACGGCGAGUGAGCGGCAAAAGCUCAAAUUUGAAAUCUGGUACCUUCGGUGCCCGAGUUGUAAUUUGGAGAGGGCAACUUUGGGGCCGUUCCUUGUCUAUGUUCCUUGGAACAGGACGUCAUAGAGGGUGAGAAUCCCGUGUGGCGAGGAGUGCGGUUCUUUGUAAAGUGCCUUCGAAGAGUCGAGUUGUUUGGGAAUGCAGCUCUAAGUGGGUGGUAAAUUCCAUCUAAAGCUAAAUAUUGGCGAGAGACCGAUAGCGAACAAGUACAGUGAUGGAAAGAUGAAAAGAACUUUGAAAAGAGAGUGAAAAAGUACGUGAAAUUGUUGAAAGGGAAGGGCAUUUGAUCAGACAUGGUGUUUUGUGCCCUCUGCUCCUUGUGGGUAGGGGAAUCUCGCAUUUCACUGGGCCAGCAUCAGUUUUGGUGGCAGGAUAAAUCCAUAGGAAUGUAGCUUGCCUCGGUAAGUAUUAUAGCCUGUGGGAAUACUGCCAGCUGGGACUGAGGACUGCGACGUAAGUCAAGGAUGCUGGCAUAAUGGUUAUAUGACGCCCGUCAAGAACACGGGACCGA
RNAcentral lists this ribosomal RNA (585 nucleotides) under Saccharomyces cerevisiae (brewer's yeast). RNAcentral's name for it is "eukaryotic LSU rRNA". It matches the Rfam family "Eukaryotic large subunit ribosomal RNA", at positions 68 to 664 of the family's 3401-position model. Lineage: Eukaryota; Fungi; Ascomycota; Saccharomycetes; Saccharomycetales; Saccharomycetaceae. The record is from RNAcentral.